Long non-coding RNA from Melanaphis sacchari, 697 nucleotides. RefSeq lists it as uncharacterized. The record is from RefSeq and is a predicted model, not a curated record. NCBI's taxonomy places the organism in Eukaryota, Metazoa, Arthropoda, Insecta, Hemiptera, Aphididae. The transcript is spliced from 3 exons.
ACGCGUAUUUGUAACUAAUACAUCUCGCAAUGUUACAUAGCUUUUUAAAAUUUAUACCUAAUGUUUGACUCCGCCGUGCGAGAGUGGAAAACAACGAAAAAAAACCCACCGUGAUAAAAUAUCCAAAUACCGCGCCACUAGUUUUUUUUUUUUUUUUAAUACGCUGUAGUCCGUGCCGUUUCUCCGAUGAGAUAAUAAUUUUUGGUUCACACACAAUAUAGGAACGACGGCGGUGAAUGUAAUACAAUAAUCUACUGUGAAGAUUUACGAUGUACAAAAAGCGAAUUCCUAUCAGUGUAUUAUAAUAUAAAUGAAAUACUACGACGGCGACGAGGAACGGGUCGGUCCCGAGUCCAAGCAGCGCACUGGACGCAUGCCGGAACAAUACAACAACAAAAAGACGUUUUGUUAUUUGUCUAUGACGUCUAUUCACGUAAAGUUUAUUUCAAACUGUCUACGUGUAUUACUCGAAUAGUUGAAUAUAUCGAUUCAAGAUAGAACGUAAUGCGUACAAUAGAUCACUUCUAUGCGGCGGAUAACCUUAAAGAGAGGCCUAUAACUGAAAAAUGGGUAGCUGUAUUAUAAUAGUGUUGUGUAUCGCUUGUAGUCACAUAAUAACCAAAUAUUUAUAGUACAAUAUCAUAUUAUUAUUAUUACAACGUACGGUUUGCCUACAGACAUGCAUACUUUAGCUACA